CUUAAGCAUAUCAAUAAGCGGAGGAAAAGAAAAUAACAAUGAUUCCCCUAGUAACUGCGAGUGAAGAGGGACAAGCUCAAAUUUUAAAUCUAUCGGGUUUUACCCGAUCGAGUUGUAAUUUGAAGAGGCGUUUUCUGUGUUUCUGAUCAGUCCAAGUCCUUUGGGAUAAGGCAUCAUGGAGGGUGAGAAUCCCGUCCGGUUGAUCAGAUUCGCUUUACGAUACGCUUUCUAAGAGUCAAGUUGUUUGGGAUUGCAGCUUAAAAUGGGAGGUAAAUUUCUCCUAAGGCUAAAUAACGGCGAGAGACCGAUAGCGAACAAGUACCGUGAGGGAAAGAUGAAAAGAACUUUGAAAAGAGAGUUAAACAGUACGUGAAAUUGUUGAAAGGGAAACGAUUGAAGCCAGUCGUACCUAUGGGUAAUCAGCCUUUUGGGUGUGAUUUUGUGGAGCGUGAGGAGUUAAACGCCUUCAUGCCUGCAUAUUCGUGCACUUUGGGUGUACUUGCCCGUAUGGUUGGUUAACAUCAAUUUUGGUGGUCAUAAAAUGACCUGGAGGAAUGUAGCUUCGAUCUCGUAUUGAAGUGUUAUAGCCUUCGGUAGAUGUGAUGAUCGAGAUUGAGGAUUGCAACGGAUACCCUUCGGGGCUACCUGUCUGAUCUCUGAUCGUUGCUCUGGUGCCGAAAGCUUGCUUACGGUUAUCAAAGUCGAUGGUCAAUAGGUUAGAACGGGUUAAAUUCGUUAAGGAUGUUGACGUAAUGGCUUUAAACGACCCGUCUUGAAACACGGACCAAGGAGUCUAACAUAUAUGCGAGUGUUAGGGUGAUUAAACCCUUACGCGUAAUGAAAGUAAUUUUGGUGGGAACAUUUUUGUGCACCAUCGACCGAUCAGGAUAUUUUUUGAUAGAUUUGAGUAAGAGCAUAUCUGCUAGGACCCGAAAGAUGGUGAACUAUGCCUGAAUAGGGUGAAGUCAGAGGAAACUCUGAUGGAGGCUCGUAGCGGUUCUGACGUGCAAAUCGAUCGUCAAAUUUGGGUAUAGGGGCGAAAGACUAAUCGAACCAUCUAGUAGCUGGUUCCUGCCGAAGUUUCCCUCAGGAUAGCAGAAACUCGUUAACAGUUUUAUGAGGUAAAGCGAAUGAUUAGAGGCCUUAGGGUUGAAACAGCCUUAACCUAUUCUCAAACUUUAAAUAUGUAAGAAGUUUAUCGUUACUUAAUUGAACGUGAACAUUCGAAUGAGAGUUUCUAGUGGGCCAUUUUU
RNAcentral lists this ribosomal RNA (1253 nucleotides) under Glomus sp. MUCL 43207. RNAcentral describes it as "eukaryotic LSU rRNA". It matches the Rfam family "Eukaryotic large subunit ribosomal RNA", at positions 33 to 1138 of the family's 3401-position model. The record is from RNAcentral. Lineage: Eukaryota; Fungi; Glomeromycota; Glomeromycetes; Glomerales; Glomeraceae.